RNAcentral lists this ribosomal RNA (468 nucleotides) under uncultured bacterium. RNAcentral describes it as "partial 16S ribosomal RNA". It matches the Rfam family "Bacterial small subunit ribosomal RNA", at positions 28 to 507 of the family's 1533-position model. The record is from RNAcentral.
GACGAACGCUGGCGGCGUGCUUAACACAUGCAAGUCGAACGGAAAGGCCCUGCUUUUGUGGGGUGCUCGAUUGGCGAACGGGUGAGUAACACGUGAGUAACCUGCCCUUGACUUUGUGAUAACUUCAGGGAACUGGGGCUAAUAUCGGAUAGGAUCUCCUGCUGCAUGGGGGGGGUAGGAGAGUUUCGGCGGUUGUGGAUGUACUCGCUGCUUAUCCGCUUGUUUGUGUGGUAGGGGCUUACCAAGGUUUUGACGGGUCGGCGGCCUGAGAGGGUGACCGGCCACAUUGGGACUGCGAUACGGCCCAGACUGCUACGGGAGGCAGCAGUGGGGAAUAUUGCACAAUGGGCGGACGCCUGAUGCAGAAACGCCGCGUGCGGGAUGACGGCUUUCGGGUUGUAAACAGAUUUCGCAUGUGCCGAAGCGUGCGUGACGGUAAUGGGUAAAGAAGCACCGGCUAACUACGUG